UACAGAGGGGGCUAGCGUUGUUCGGAAUUACUGGGCGUAAAGGGCGCGUAGGUGGCCUGUUAAGUCGAACGUGAAAUCCCCGGGCUCAACCCGGGAACUGCGUCCGAGACUGGCAGGCUCGAAUCCGGGAGAGGGAUGUGGAAUUCCAGGUGUAGCGGUGAAAUGCGUAGAUAUCUGGAGGAACACCGGUGGCGAAGGCGGCAUCCUGGACCAAUAUUGACGCUGAGGAGCGAAAGCCAGGGGAGCAAACGGG
This 253-nucleotide ribosomal RNA is filed under the name uncultured bacterium. RNAcentral's name for it is "partial 16S ribosomal RNA". It matches the Rfam family "Bacterial small subunit ribosomal RNA", at positions 524 to 776 of the family's 1533-position model. The record is from RNAcentral.